Molecule: ribosomal RNA, 635 nt
Filed under: uncultured yeast
Lineage: Eukaryota; Fungi
Description: eukaryotic LSU rRNA
Rfam family: Eukaryotic large subunit ribosomal RNA
Source: RNAcentral
ACCCGCUGAAUUUAAGCAUUUCAAUAAGCGGAGGAAAAGAAACCAACAGGGAUUGCCUUAGUAACGGCGAGUGAAGCGGCAAAAGCUCAAAUUUGAAAUCUGGCACCUUCGGUGUCCGAGUUGUAAUUUGAAGAAGGUAACUUUGGAGUUGGCUCUUGUCUAUGUUCCUUGGAACAGGACGUCACAGAGGGUGAGAAUCCCGUGCGAUGAGAUGCCCAAUUCUAUGUAAAGUGCUUUCGAAGAGUCGAGUUGUUUGGGAAUGCAGCUCUAAGUGGGUGGUAAAUUCCAUCUAAAGCUAAAUAUUGGCGAGAGACCGAUAGCGAACAAGUACAGUGAUGGAAAGAUGAAAAGAACUUUGAAAAGAGAGUGAAAAAGUACGUGAAAUUGUUGAAAGGGAAGGGCUUGAGAUCAGACUUGGUAUUUUGCGAUCCUUUCCUUCUUGGUUGGGUUCCUCGCAGCUUACUGGGCCAGCAUCGGUUUGGAUGGUAGGAUAAUGACUAAGGAAUGUGGCUCUACUUCGGUGGAGUGUUAUAGCCUUGGUUGAUACUGCCUGUCUAGACCGAGGACUGCGUCUUUUGACUAGGAUGUUGGCAUUAUGAUCUUAAGCCACCCGUCUUGAAACACGGACCAAGGAG